This 325-nucleotide small nuclear RNA is filed under the name Octodon degus (degu). RNAcentral's name for it is "7SK RNA (ENSODEG00000024509.1)". It matches the Rfam family "7SK RNA". Rfam says of the family: 7SK was discovered as an abundant small nuclear RNA in the mid-70s but a possible function has only recently been suggested. The record is from Rfam by way of RNAcentral. Lineage: Eukaryota; Metazoa; Chordata; Mammalia; Rodentia; Octodontidae.
GGAUAUGAGGGCCCCUGGCUGCAACUUCUGUCACCCUGCUGAUUGCCAGGGUUGAUUAGGCUGAUCUGGCUGGCUAGGCGGGUGUCCUCUUCCUCCCUCCAUGCUCCACGUGCAUCCCUCCUGAAGCUGCAUGCUUGGUCGAAGAGGACGACCACCCCCAACAAAGGAGGACGGUUCCUCAGUCAAGGGUACAGGAGCUGCUGCGCUCCCCUGCUAGAACCUCCAAACAAUCUCUCAAAAAAAAUGGAAAGAUAUUCCAUGUUCUUGGAUAGGAAGAACCAACACUGCAAAAAUGGCCAUACUCCCAAAAUUGUUACACAGAUUU